This 64-nucleotide transfer RNA is filed under the name Cavelerius excavatus. Its description in RNAcentral is "tRNA-His". RNAcentral also lists the same sequence under 1 other name. Lineage: Eukaryota; Metazoa; Arthropoda; Insecta; Hemiptera; Blissidae. The record is from RNAcentral.
ACUUAAAUAGUUUAAAAUUAGAAUUAUAAUUUGUGGAGUUAUAGGUGUAUAAUUACUUUAGGUU